Molecule: ribosomal RNA, 253 nt
Filed under: uncultured bacterium
Lineage: Bacteria
Description: partial 16S ribosomal RNA
Rfam family: Bacterial small subunit ribosomal RNA
Source: RNAcentral
UACGUAGGGUGCGAGCGUUAAUCGGAAUUACUGGGCGUAAAGUGUGCGCAGGCGGCCGAGCAAGUCGAGUGUGAAAGCCCCGGGCUUAACCUGGGAAUGGCAUUGGAAACUGGCGGGCUUGAGUGCGGCAGAGGGGGGUGGAAUUCCGCGUGUAGCAGUGAAAUGCGUAGAGAUGCGGAGGAACACCGAUGGCGAAGGCAGCCCCCUGGGUCGACACUGACGCUCAGGCACGAAAGCGUGGGGAGCAAACAGG